This 306-nucleotide unclassified non-coding RNA is filed under the name uncultured Glomus. Its description in RNAcentral is "sequence contains 5.8S rRNA gene". The stretch from base 1 to 53 matches the Rfam family "5.8S ribosomal RNA", at positions 102 to 154 of the family's 154-position model. Lineage: Eukaryota; Fungi; Glomeromycota; Glomeromycetes; Glomerales; Glomeraceae. The record is from RNAcentral.
GAACGCAAAUUGCACUCUCUGGCAUUCCGGAGAGUAUGCCUGUUUGAGGGUCGAUAAAAACAAAAAAUCGACGGCGUUGUUUUUUAACAUUGUCGGAAUUGGGUGAUCUUUGACCUCGUUUUGGUUGAAGUGACCUAAAAUUUAAACAUUUUUAUACUUUCGGUAUGAUUACGUACUUAAUAAUCUUCGUCGUAAAUACUGAUAUGUAAUAAAUUUAUUAGAUGCGACUAUUCAAUAGCUUUCGCGUCCAUAACAUUUUUUUUCAAUUAAUGACCUCAAAUCAGGUAAGAAUACCCGCUGAACUUA